CCUACGGGAGGCAGCAGUGGGGAAUAUUGCCCAAUGGGCGAAAGCCUGAUGCAGCAACGCCGCGUGAGCGAUGAAGGCCUUCGGUUCGUAAAGCUCUGUCCUCAAGGAAGAUAAUGACGGUACUUGAGGAGGAAGCCCCGGCUAACUACGUGCCAGCAGCCGCGGUAAUACGUAGGGGGCUAGCGUUAUCCGGAUUUACUGGGCGUAAAGGGUGCGUAGGCGGUCUUUUAAGUCAGGAGUGAAAGGCUACGGCUCAACCGUAGUAAGCUCUUGAAACUGGAGGACUUGAGUGCAGGAGAGGAGAGUGGAAUUCCUAGUGUAGCGGUGAAAUGCGUAGAUAUUAGGAGGAACACCAGUAGCGAAGGCGGCUCUCUGGACUGUAACUGACGCUGAGGCACGAAAGCGUGGGGAGCAAACAGGAUUAGAUACCCUGGUAGUCCACGCCGUAAACGAUGAGUACUAGCUGUCGGAGGUUACCCCCUUCGGUGGCGCAGCUAACGCAUUAAGUACUCCGCCUGGGGAGUACGCUCGCAAGAGUGAAACUCAAAUGAAUUGACGG
This 559-nucleotide ribosomal RNA is filed under the name uncultured bacterium. Its description in RNAcentral is "bacterial SSU rRNA". It matches the Rfam family "Bacterial small subunit ribosomal RNA", at positions 338 to 916 of the family's 1533-position model. The record is from RNAcentral.